AAUAAUUGCACUUCACAAAAGGAACUAGCUAGUUACUCACUAGAUAUUCAUUAACACAAGAUACUCAUCAACUUAACAAGUUAAUUAAACUUCACAAAAGUUACUCAUCAACUCAAGAUGGACUAGAUAGUUAAAGAACUACUCUUCAUCAAGGAUUACGAUCAGGUGGCGAAGCUUCUUUCUAUUGCCCUCUCCAUCUUUUUUGAAAUGAUCUAUGUCCACCUUGAGCUCAUUCCUCUCUACCCCGAGGAGUUUUCUCUCCUGCUUCAUCUCAACCCUCUCCUCGAUCAGCUUAUCCCUCUCGUCCCUCAGCUUAUUAGUAUUUUGAAUGAGUUGAACACUCUUGUUGCGCAGCUCUUUAAUCUCCGCCUUUAGAGAGGCAUUCACCUCUUGCAGACUGUUGAUGGUAUACCGAUGAAUCUCUAAGAGAUCUUUGUUGAGCACGUCCACAUAGUACACCUCCUCGUUGUUGCCUCCGGAAUUGACCAUGACCUAACAAAUAAAUAAUUUGUUAGACAAAGUAGUUCAACAUAUGAACUCAUAAGGUUUAAAAAAACAUAUGCACUCAUAAUUAUUUAACACAUGGCAGUUUCUACACAUACAAUUGAACUAGCAUCCAUUAAAAGAAUGAACUAGCAUGCCACACUUUUUCAGUCACAUAGCCCACUUUGGCCAAUUUGGCCACCACAAAAAUUGUGGCAGCAUGCCACACUUGUGGCACACAAGUGUGGAUGGCAACCAAACAUGCUAUGUCUAUCAAAAUGCCUAGAGCGUGAUUUUGCACUGAUUUGGCAGUACUUCAACAUGUGUAUCAAAAUGCCUAGAGCAAACACAAACUAUAUAUCCAACACAUAUGGCAGUUUCAACAAAUGCAAAUUAUCCAUCUAUUCAAAUUAUCAUGGACUACCAAACUCCUAAUCUGGCCUACUCACUUCACAUUGUUGAUUCUAUUCAUUUGGCCUACUCACUUCACAUUGUAGUUUCUAACAAACUCCUAAUCUUCCCUACCUAGCCAAAUUAUCCAAACUAAAACCCUACUCACCAACGAUUUGUAAUCAAUGCCUUGGAGGGGAUGAAAUCACCGUCGAUUUGUAGUCAAUGCCAUGGAGGGGAUGAACCCUAGCAGCCAGUCACCACCGUUGCUGAAACC
This 1150-nucleotide long non-coding RNA is filed under the name Triticum aestivum (bread wheat). RNAcentral describes it as "long non-coding RNA (TAES_LNC027426)". Lineage: Eukaryota; Viridiplantae; Streptophyta; Magnoliopsida; Poales; Poaceae. The record is from RNAcentral.